Molecule: long non-coding RNA, 328 nt
Filed under: Ananas comosus (pineapple)
Lineage: Eukaryota; Viridiplantae; Streptophyta; Magnoliopsida; Poales; Bromeliaceae
Description: long non-coding RNA (ACOM_LNC039887)
Source: RNAcentral
AAAAAAUUAUCUACAUUAAAGAUCGUUCCAACUUUUAAAAUUUUAACUUUACUAUUUUAAUUUGAAUCAAUCAGUAACACUAAUUAUUUAUUUUAAUAAAUUAGUUGUGAAAAUUGCAUGAAUUCGUAAAAAUAAAUGGCGUAUUUAAAUUUUAAAAUUAAAAUAUUAUUAACUGAUUCAAAUCAAAUAAAUUAAAAAAUUUUAAAAUUUUUUAAAAAUUUGAAUAGCCAAAUCAAAAUAAUUUAUAAUUCAAAUAAAUUCUACAUAUUUUUACCUUUAAUUAAAAAUUGAGUUUUAUUUGAUUUUAAAAUUAUCUAAAUACUCUCCA